CGUCGACCUCACCGGCCUCGGCCUUACCGGGCCCUUCCCUGCCUCCCUCUGCCGCAUCCCUAACCUCGCUUUCCUCUCCCUCUCCUGGAACAACAUCAACUCCUCCCUCCCGGACUCCGCCGUCGGUCCCUGCGCCGCCCUCGCCCACCUCGACCUCUCCCAGAACCUCCUCGUCGGCCCGCUCCCCGACGCCCUCGCCGCCCUGCCGUCCCUCGCUCACCUCGACCUCACCGGUAACAACUUUUCUGGCCCCAUCCCGCCCUCCUUCGGCCGCUUCCCCGUCAUCCAGGAUCUCUCGCUCGUCGCGAACCUGCUCACCUCCACUGUCCCUGCCUUCUUGGGCAACCUCACCACCCUCCGCCAG
RNAcentral lists this long non-coding RNA (364 nucleotides) under Musa acuminata (dwarf banana). RNAcentral describes it as "long non-coding RNA (MACU_LNC006052)". The record is from RNAcentral. Lineage: Eukaryota; Viridiplantae; Streptophyta; Magnoliopsida; Zingiberales; Musaceae.